GAUUUAUUCGUCAAAGGCUUAUAGCUGUUUCAAAUAAACGUUUGGGGAUGUUCAUGGAUCAAUCUUACUUGAUCGAUCAUCGAUCUAUUCAGAGACAGAAAUUCUAAGAAACCGCUGCCCUAAGUUAUAUUCUUCAGAGCCGAAAAAUGCAACUGCCGAAGGAUAAGAUAAAAGGAAGGAAUUUGGAAAAUAUGACAUAAUAGAACUAGGCCAUGUACUUUAAGACAUCAUCCGUAAACCAUACCAGGCUCGUAACGCGGGUAAAUAGUAUUGGCAUCCAAUGAAUAAACUUAAUACCAUACAAUAUCCUUAUGGUCAGUGGAAAAUUCUUGGCAAUUACUAUUGUGGUUCGAAAAAACAUUGACAAGGGAAGUAUUUUUGAAAUACAAAACGAAAGAAAAGACAGAAUAGACAUUUACAUUAUUUACAUUUGACGGAUAUUUGUCUCCAUCUUGUGUGUUGUUAACACGUUUGGGCUGAUAUACCCUCCAGCUUUCAUCAAGUGUCUUAGGGAAAUUUCGAGCCAGGGUUCUCCUUCCUAAGAAAUUCUUUUGGUUUUGAUGAGAAGGAAGAGAGGACAAUUUCGACCACCUGUGGGAUUUUGAACACUAAUUCAUUUAAAUGAUUCUGUAAACCUCGAAAAAAUGGUAAUCAGGAAGUGGCAAGAUCCGGAGAAUAAGAAUACUGCAAAUUUUGAUAGAAAUUACAUAUAUGAUAUUUCGGAUAUUAUUUGUGGGAUGACUGAUGUGACCACCUGUGAAAUAACUUCAUAUCAGCAGAUUUACAUACGAUAUCAAAUGAAAUUUUAAGUUCAAAGUGCGGUGAGCGAUAUUCAUCUGACACCGAUUUUUUAUCCACGCGGAUUUAAAUAAAAUCAAUUUUGCACGAAAGUCUGGAAGUUGAUAUUUUCGGCCGCGCAUGGGAAUUGUUUACCGUUCAAUGCAAUGACCAACUAAUGUGGCAACAUCAUGUUUCUAUAGAAUUAUUCAGAAAUAAUGUUCUAUAGAAUUAUUCAAUAUACAGUAAUAUAAAUAGAGACUAUGUCGGCCUAAACAGUAUUAUAAACAACGGAAGAUUUUACCCAAGAUCAUCAAAAGAAGCACCAGAAUUUAAUAAUUCAUAAUAAUGAAGAGAUACCAUAAAGAGUUGUCUGAUGAUGGGUUGUGCUUGAACCUUUUGAACACCUAUUGAAGGGCUCCAAACAACCAUAACGCUGAAACUUUCGUAGGAACUGUAAUGUAAACAUGUAUUUAUCCUUUUUGCAAACUGUCGGUCUGUGCGUCUGCCUUUCU
Molecule: long non-coding RNA, 1292 nt
Organism: Octopus bimaculoides (California two-spot octopus)
Lineage: Eukaryota; Metazoa; Mollusca; Cephalopoda; Octopoda; Octopodidae
Source: RefSeq, a predicted model, not a curated record